AACGAACGCUGGCGGCAUGCCUAACACAUGCAAGUCGAACGAGACCUUCGUGUCUAGUUGCUCACUGGUGCUUAACGCGUGGUAACCUUCCCUUAGGUUCGGGAUAACUCCCCGAAAGGUGUGCUAAUACCUGAUAAUUACUUCGGUCCAAAGAUUUAUCGCCGUUGGAUGGGCCCGCGUUGGCUUGGCUAGUUGGUAGGGUAAAAGCCUACCAAUGCGACGAUCCAUAGCUGGUCUGAGAGGAUGAUCAGCCACACUGGGACUGAGACACGGCCCAGACUCCUCCGGGAGGCAGCAGUGGGGAAUAUUGGACACUGGGCGAAAGCCUGAUCAAGCAAUGCCGCGUGCGUGAUGAAGGCAUUAGGGUUGUAAAGCUCUUUUACCCGGGCUGAUAAUGACAGUACCGGGAGAAUAAGCUCCGCCUAACUCCGUG
RNAcentral lists this ribosomal RNA (433 nucleotides) under uncultured bacterium. RNAcentral describes it as "partial 16S ribosomal RNA". It matches the Rfam family "Bacterial small subunit ribosomal RNA", at positions 29 to 507 of the family's 1533-position model. The record is from RNAcentral.